CAACCAAUGAUCAACUGCCAAGUCCGGUAGGACAAGGAUGCAGCUCUGUUUGACCAUUUGAGCCAAGACACAAUGUAUCUGUCUCAUAUUCAGUAUGUGCAGCUCCUUAAGUCUGUCCUGCUCAACUUCCAUUUUCUGAAGGAAAGUUAUGGAUCUGGAUAUCAAACAGAUGCAAUGGAUGCUGGGGACGACAAAAGAAGUACGAGCCACCAUAUUGUAACAAUGAAGCAGGAGUGCCAAAAGAUGAGGCCCAACUUGGUCAUCAUUCGCCAAUGCCUCCAGAGAGUACAGAAGACACUAUAUUCAACAACACUACUGCAGAGGUCUUAAAAGAAUUCCCCUGCUUCUCUAUUCCAAUCUUGGCCAGUUGGUGAAUGCAGCCAUACUCCUCAUACCAUCGGUCUUCAAAGAAAAUGCAUCACAGCUGUUUGCAAUAGCUAAGGAACCACUAAGCCCAACACCCACAAUUGUCCUGAGCAACAGCGAUGGCAAGCCCCUGAGUGACGGCACAGAUGUUUUUGUAGCAGUGGAUGG
Molecule: long non-coding RNA, 534 nt
Organism: Anarrhichthys ocellatus (wolf-eel)
Lineage: Eukaryota; Metazoa; Chordata; Actinopteri; Perciformes; Anarhichadidae
Exons: 5
Source: RefSeq, a predicted model, not a curated record